UAAGUAUGCCAGCAUCUCUUGGAAGGAUGA
This 30-nucleotide non-coding RNA is filed under the name Mus musculus (house mouse). Lineage: Eukaryota; Metazoa; Chordata; Mammalia; Rodentia; Muridae. The record is from RNAcentral.